RNAcentral lists this transfer RNA (72 nucleotides) under Camelus bactrianus (Bactrian camel). It matches the Rfam family "tRNA". From Rfam's summary of the family: Transfer RNA (tRNA) molecules are approximately 80 nucleotides in length. Their secondary structure includes four short double-helical elements and three loops (D, anti-codon, and T loops). The record is from Rfam by way of RNAcentral. Lineage: Eukaryota; Metazoa; Chordata; Mammalia; Artiodactyla; Camelidae. RNAcentral also lists the same sequence under 2 other names.
GAGGGUAUAGCUCAGUGCUAGAGUGUGUGCUUAGCAUGCAUGAGGUCCUGGGUUCAAUCCCCAGUACCUCCA